UACGUAGGGGGCGAGCGUUAUCCGGAAUUACUGGGCGUAAAGAGUGCGUAGGUGGUUAUGCAAGCGCGAGGGUUUAAGGCUAGGGCCUAACCGUAGUUCGCCCCGCGAACUGCGUAACUUGAGUACAGGAGGGGAAAGCGGAAUUCCUAGUGUAGCGGUGAAAUGCGUAGAUAUUAGGAGGAACACCAGUGGCGAAGGCGGCUUUCUGGACUGCAACUGACACUGAGGCACGAAAGCGUGGGUAGCAAACAGG
Molecule: ribosomal RNA, 253 nt
Filed under: uncultured Eubacteriales bacterium
Lineage: Bacteria; Bacillati; Bacillota; Clostridia; Eubacteriales
Description: uncultured Clostridiales bacterium partial 16S ribosomal RNA
Rfam family: Bacterial small subunit ribosomal RNA
Source: RNAcentral